Non-coding RNA from Zea mays, 194 nucleotides. NCBI's taxonomy places the organism in Eukaryota, Viridiplantae, Streptophyta, Magnoliopsida, Poales, Poaceae. The record is from Rfam.
UUUAUUUUUUAGUCUUUUGGCUAAGAUCAAGUGUAAUACUUGUUUUACCAGUUCAAUGUCCAGUAUAUGAACAAUAUGUUCACUUUGACAUUAAAUUCAUUUAGUAUGGGUAUUUUUAUGUGGAGGGUUACCCAAUCAAUAUCUUCAAAUAUAGUUAGGUACCGUUGCAACGCACGGGUAUUAAACAAGUAUAG